CAUGGCAUUAGAAGAACCUGAAAAGCCAAAAUGGGGAGGCCAAACCUCUGCCAAGCUCAAAGGCUCAAAAGAGCAAGAGGUUUGGCCUCUCCUGGCGGACUUCUGCAACAUGGACAAGUGGUUCCCCGGCCUCCACACUUGCUACCAAGUUGGCGGAGUUCCUGGCCAACCCGGUCUGGUUCGGUACUGCGAGCGCGGCACGGAUGAGACAACUAUCCUGUGGGCAAAAGAGAAGUUACUCAUGAUCGACCCAAUCAACCAGUGUAUGACCUACGAGAUUGUUGACAACAAUAUGGGUUUCGAGUCGUAUGUUGCAACAAUGCAAUUAGUCCCUAUCAACAACCAUGGCUGCAAGAUCGAGUGGUAGUUUGUUUGUGAUCAGAUUGAGGGCACGAGUUUGGAAGAUCUCCAAUCUUUCGUUGAGUCUUCACUCCAAGGGAUAGCAAAGAAGAUGGAGCUUGCUCUUCUAUCUAAUACUUAAGUAGUAGAAGAUAUCUUGUUCAUGUAAUAAUAAUGGUAACAAUUUUCAAUUUGAUUGAACAGUUACAGCGUU
RNA transcript from Rosa chinensis, 553 nucleotides. RefSeq lists it as uncharacterized. NCBI's taxonomy places the organism in Eukaryota, Viridiplantae, Streptophyta, Magnoliopsida, Rosales, Rosaceae. The transcript is spliced from 2 exons. The record is from RefSeq and is a predicted model, not a curated record.